UUAAGGUAUAUCAUUCUAUAAUUUUGGGUUUAUAGAUUCAAAGUUAAGGUCUCGUGUAUAUAUAUUUAUAUAUAUACUAUUGUGAUAUGUUCUAAUUAAUAAGUGUAAAAUUUAGGUUUUUCAUAAGAAACUCAUUAUUGGUUUUCAAGGAUCACUCUUAUUGCAAUCAAGGCUAGAACUCCACAUUCGAGACCAAGGUAACUGAAAGUUUAGAAAGUCGGUGGCGAGUGGAACUUUGGACGCUUGUGUGUGUGAACUCGCUGAGGACCAUAUAACUGUGGGCGGUCUAGGGCGCUCUGUUUAUUUAUUUACGCUAUUAAACUUAUGUCGCAAUUAUUUUAGUUAUUAUUUAUUAUGUCUUUUGUACGAAAACUGGCCAGUUGUGAAUAUUUUCAAGUAUUAAAUAAAAAUGCGACAUUAUGAUUUUCCGCGUUUAA
Molecule: long non-coding RNA, 437 nt
Organism: Cannabis sativa
Lineage: Eukaryota; Viridiplantae; Streptophyta; Magnoliopsida; Rosales; Cannabaceae
Exons: 2
Source: RefSeq, a predicted model, not a curated record